Molecule: ribosomal RNA, 340 nt
Filed under: Flectonotus pygmaeus (Puerto Cabello treefrog)
Lineage: Eukaryota; Metazoa; Chordata; Amphibia; Anura; Hemiphractidae
Description: partial 16S ribosomal RNA
Source: RNAcentral
GCCAAACUCCUAGCCCCAACACAAUUGAUGACCCCCCCCCUAUUAAAUUUAACUAAACGAAACAUCCUAACAGUCCAGUAAAGGCGAUUAAAAAACUAAUUGGAGCUAUAGCCUAAUAGUACCGAAAGGGAAUAAUGAAAUACUAUGAAAAGUCAAGCACAACAAAAUAGAGCUUAUUGCUCGUACCUUUCGCAUCAUGGUUUAACUAGAAUAAGCAAGCGAAAAGAGUUAAAGUUUGCCCUCCCGAAACUAAGUGAGCUACUUCAGAGCAGCUUCUUGAGCAAACCCGUCUCUGUUGCAAAAGAGUGGGAAGACUCCCAAGUAGAGGUGACAUGCCUAA